AGCUUUGCACAGAGCCGUAUCAUAGCCAAUGAGGUUUAUCUGAGGUGUGAUUGUUGCUAAUUAAAAAUUGUACCAUGAAGCAAGAGAAUAGAUAAAAUUCUGAAAAAUCAUACA
This 114-nucleotide small nuclear RNA is filed under the name Otolemur garnettii (small-eared galago). RNAcentral's name for it is "U4 spliceosomal RNA". It matches the Rfam family "U4 spliceosomal RNA". Rfam says of the family: U4 small nuclear RNA (U4 snRNA) is a component of the major U2-dependent spliceosome. The structure of U4 snRNA from yeast and human has been reported. The record is from Rfam by way of RNAcentral. Lineage: Eukaryota; Metazoa; Chordata; Mammalia; Primates; Galagidae.